Molecule: ribosomal RNA, 1386 nt
Filed under: Pseudonocardia alni subsp. carboxydivorans
Lineage: Bacteria; Bacillati; Actinomycetota; Actinomycetes; Pseudonocardiales; Pseudonocardiaceae
Description: bacterial SSU rRNA
Rfam family: Bacterial small subunit ribosomal RNA
Source: RNAcentral
GUCGAGCGGUAAGGCCCUUUCGGGGGUACACGAGCGGCGAACGGGUGAGUAACACGUGGGUGACCUGCCCUCCACUCUGGGAUAAGCCCGGGAAACUGGGUCUAAUACCGGAUAGGACCACUGAUCGCAUGGUUGGUGGUGGAAAGUUUUUUCGGUGGGGGAUGGGCCCGCGGCCUAUCAGCUUGUUGGUGGGGUGAUGGCCUACCAAGGCGGUGACGGGUAGCCGGCCUGAGAGGGCGACCGGCCACACUGGGACUGAGACACGGCCAGACUCCUACGGGAGGCAGCAGUGGGGAAUAUUGCGCAAUGGGCGGAAGCCUGACGCAGCGACGCCGCGUGGGGGAUGACGGCCUUCGGGUUGUAAACCUCUUUCGCCAGGGACGAAGAGCAAUUGACGGUACCUGGAGAAGAAGCACCGGCCAACUACGUGCCAGCAGCCGCGGUAACACGUAGGGUGCGAGCGUUGUCCGGAAUUAUUGGGCGUAAAGAGCUCGUAGGCGGUGUGUCGCGUCGGCCGUGAAAACUUGGGGCUUAACUCUGAGCGUGCGGUCGAUACGGGCAUCACUUGAGUUCGGCAGGGGAGACUGGAAUUCCUGGUGUAGCGGUGAAAUGCGCAGAUAUCAGGAGGAACACCGGUGGCGAAGGCGGGUCUCUGGGCCGAUACUGACGCUGAGGAGCGAAAGCGUGGGGAGCGAACAGGAUUAGAUACCCUGGUAGUCCACGCCGUAAACGUUGGGCGCUAGGUGUGGGGACCAUUCCACGGUUUCUGUGCCGCAGCUAACGCAUUAAGCGCCCCGCCUGGGGAGUACGGCCGCAAGGCUAAAACUCAAAGGAAUUGACGGGGGCCCGCACAAGCGGCGGAGCAUGUGGAUUAAUUCGAUGCAACGCGAAGAACCUUACCUGGGUUUGACAUGCACCAGACAUCCCUAGAGAUAGGGCUUCCCUUGUGGUUGGUGUGCAGGUGGUGCAUGGCUGUCGUCAGCUCGUGUCGUGAGAUGUUGGGUUAAGUCCCGCAACGAGCGCAACCCUUGUUCCAUGUUGCCAGCACGUAAUGGUGGGGACUCAUGGGAGACUGCCGGGGUCAACUCGGAGGAAGGUGGGGAUGACGUCAAGUCAUCAUGCCCCUUAUGUCCAGGGCUUCACACAUGCUACAAUGGCUCAUACAGAGGGCUGCGAGACCGUGAGGUGGAGCGAAUCCCUUAAAGUGAGUCUCAGUUCGGAUCGGGGUCUGCAACUCGACCCCGUGAAGUUGGAGUCGCUAGUAAUCGCAGAUCAGCAACGCUGCGGUGAAUACGUUCCCGGGCCUUGUACACACCGCCCGUCACGUCACGAAAGUUGGUAACACCCGAAGCCGGCGGCCCAACCCUUGUGGAGGGAGCUGUCGAA